GUGUCAGCCGCCGCGGUAAUACGGAGGGUGCGAGCGUUGUCCGGAUUUAUUGGGUUUAAAGGGUGCGUAGGCGGCUUCGUAAGUCUGGGGUGAAAGCCCGUUGCUCAACAACGGAACUGCCCUGGAAACUGCGGGGCUUGAGUCCAGACGAGGUCGGCGGAAUGGGCGGUGUAGCGGUGAAAUGCAUAGAUACCGUCCAGAACCCCGAUUGCGAAGGCAGCUGACUAGGCUGGUACUGACGCUGAGGCACGAAAGCGUGGGGAGCGAACAGGAUUAGAAACCCCCGUAGUCC
Molecule: ribosomal RNA, 292 nt
Filed under: uncultured bacterium
Lineage: Bacteria
Description: partial 16S ribosomal RNA
Rfam family: Bacterial small subunit ribosomal RNA
Source: RNAcentral